GAUGAACGCUGGCGGCGUGCCUAAUACAUGCAAGUCGAGCGAACAGACGAGGAGCUUGCUCCUCUGACGUUAGCGGCGGACGUGUGAGUAACACGUGGAUAACCUACCUAUAAGACUGGGAUAACUUCGGGAAACCGGAGCUAAUACCGGAUAAUCUAUUGAACCGCAUGGUUCAAUAGUGAAAUACGGUUUUGCUGUCACUUAUAGAUGGAUCCGCGCCGCAUUAGCUAGUUGGUAAGGUAACGGCUUACCAAGGCAACGAUGCGUAGCCGACCUGAGAGGGUGAUCGGCCACACUGGAAGUGAGACACGGUCCAGACUCCUACGGGAGGGAGCAGUAGGGAAUCUGACGCAAUGGGCGAAAGCUUGACGGAGCAACGCCGAGUGAGUGAUGAAGGUGUUCGGAUCGUAAAACUCUGUUAUUAGGGAAGAACAAAUGUGUAAGUAACUAUGCACGUCUUGACGGUACCGAAUCAGAAAGCCACGGCUAACUACGUG
Molecule: ribosomal RNA, 497 nt
Filed under: uncultured bacterium
Lineage: Bacteria
Description: partial 16S ribosomal RNA
Rfam family: Bacterial small subunit ribosomal RNA
Source: RNAcentral